UACACACCGCCCGUCACGCCAUGGAAGCUGGGGGGACCUGAAGUCGGUGGGCUAACCGCAAGGAGGCAGCCGCCCAAGGUGCGGUCGAUGAUUGGGGUG
RNAcentral lists this ribosomal RNA (99 nucleotides) under uncultured bacterium. RNAcentral's name for it is "partial 16S ribosomal RNA". It matches the Rfam family "Bacterial small subunit ribosomal RNA", at positions 1384 to 1482 of the family's 1533-position model. The record is from RNAcentral.